UGGGAAAAGACCAGCUGAGGUGCUGGAAAAGGACUGGGGACAAAAAGAGCGGGUGGGACCAUCAGUCUCUGCCACACAGCAGGAGCUGCUGUGUUCCCAUUGGCAAGCUCUGCACAGGGCUCCAGAAGCCCCCUCUGACAAGGACCAGACAUCCCCGAGACAAUCGCCAAGUCUAGAAACUUCCAGCCAUAAGGGUUGCUCAAGGGUCUUUUGUUCUUCCUCAUGAUGUUUUAAAAUUGUUUUAUGGGACCAAGAGGCAUGCAAAGCCAGUCCUCAAUAUAGACAGAAUUGCAACUGCUGUCUGAGGAACCAAGAGCAGCUGUAUUCAUGAAGAGCAUAGAACGACGGUUGUCAGGCGAUGGAGGAGGGACAUUUGUCUACUGAGUACAGUGUCAGUUUGGCAUGAGGAAAGGAAUCCUGGAGAUGUGUUCUGAUUGCUGCACAGUGAUGUUAAUGUACCACUGAACUGUACCCUUGGAAUGGUUCCAAUGAUAACCUUUACUUUCUGUAUAUUUUAUUCUAGAAAUAGUUUUGAUUAGCAAAGGAACCGAAUAGAUAAUUCUCCAAAGAUGAUAAGCAAAAGGCCAAUAAGCACAGGAGACGAUGUUCAACAUCACCAGUUACUGAGGAAACAUUAAAAACAUGAAACUGUUUCACAUCUACUAAGAUAACACAAAAGACAGACAGUGGCACUUGGGGAGAAUGUAGAAAUUGGGAUGUGUGCUGUACUGAUGGAACUGCAAGAUGGUACAGCUGCCGUGGAAAACUGGUGGGCCCUCAGAAAGUUGAUUAUGGGCCAGAAGUGGUGACUUAUUCCUGAAAAACAUAAGCCAGGUGGUGGUGAUGGCAGUGGUGCACGCCUUUAAUCCCAGGACUUGGGAGGCAGAGGCAGGUGGAUCUCCGAGUUUGAGGCCAGCCUGGACCACAGAGUGAGUUCCAGGACAGGCAGGGCUACACAGAGAAACCCUGUCUCAUAAAGCCCAAAAC
Peromyscus californicus insignis is the source of this 987-nucleotide long non-coding RNA. RefSeq lists it as uncharacterized. The transcript is spliced from 3 exons. NCBI's taxonomy places the organism in Eukaryota, Metazoa, Chordata, Mammalia, Rodentia, Cricetidae. The record is from RefSeq and is a predicted model, not a curated record.